ACUCAAAGGAAUUGACGGGGGCUCACACAAGCGGUGGAGCAUGUGGCUUAAUUCGAGGCUACGCGCAAAACCUUAUCCCGGGCUUGACAUGCACGGAUUAGCCGGCGGAAACGUCGGCGACGCCGCGAGGUGGAACGUGCACAGGUGCUGCAUGGCUGUCGUCAGCUCGUGCCGUGAGGUGUUGGGUUAAGUCCCCUAACGAGCGCAACCCCUGUGCCUAGUUGCCAUCAUUCAGUUGGGCACUCUAGGCAGACCGCCGGCGUCAAGCCGGAGGAAGGCGGGGAUGACGUCAAGUCCUCAUGGCCCUUAUGCCCGGGGCCGCACACGUGCUACAAUGGGCCGGACAGAGCGUCGCCACCGCGCGAGCGGGAGCUAAUCGCCGAAACCGGCCCCCAGUUCGGAUUGCGGGCUGCAACCCGCCCGCAUGAAGCCGGAAUCGCUAGUAAUCGCGGAUCAGCACUGCCGCGGUGAAUGGGUUCCUGAGCCUUGUACACACCGCCCGU
This 503-nucleotide ribosomal RNA is filed under the name uncultured bacterium. RNAcentral's name for it is "partial 16S ribosomal RNA". It matches the Rfam family "Bacterial small subunit ribosomal RNA", at positions 899 to 1397 of the family's 1533-position model. The record is from RNAcentral.